AGGAUGAACGCUGGCGGCGUGCUUAACACAUGCAAGUCGAACGGUGAAGUGAGGAGCUUGCUCCUUGCGGAUCAGUGGCGAACGGGUGAGUAACACGUGAGUAACCUGCCCUUGACUCUGGGAUAAGCGUUGGAAACGACGUCUAAUACCGGAUACGACCUCCGAAGGCAUCUUCUGGAGGUGGAAAGAAUUUCGGUCAAGGAUGGACUCGCGGCCUAUCAGCUAGUUGGUGAGGUAAUGGCCCACCAAGGCGACGACGGGUAGCCGGCCUGAGAGGGUGACCGGCCACACUGGGACUGAGACACGGCCCAGACUCCUACGGGAGGCAGCAGUGGGGAAUAUUGCACAAUGGGCGCAAGCCUGAUGCAGCAACGCCGCGUGAGGGACGACGGCCUUCGGGUUGUAACCUCUUUAGUAGGGAAGAAGCGAAGUGACGGUACCUGCAGAAAAGCACCGGCUAACUACGUGCCAGCAGCCGCGGU
Molecule: ribosomal RNA, 482 nt
Filed under: uncultured bacterium
Lineage: Bacteria
Description: SSU rRNA
Rfam family: Bacterial small subunit ribosomal RNA
Source: RNAcentral